CUCAGUUCAUCAUUCCUGUUUGUUAACUGCAACUGAGCUGCACAGAAGGCUUUGUGCUGAAGGAUUUCUCUGAGAGAUAGGAUGAAACAGUGCCUAGCCCAAAGAAUUUACAGGAGAAAUGUUUUUCUCAUGCAGACCUCUGAGGCACGCUGUGGAGAGAGAGUGACUACCUGCAGUCACUGCUGACUCCUCACCUGGAGGACCAUGCUCUCACACUGGGAUCUGGCACCAAGGAGCCCCAGGGCCUCACCGAGGGUAGUGCUGGUAAAGGAGCAUUGCUGGCAGCUCUUUGUUAUUUGUUUCCUCUGCUGAUAAGUAGAGGUAUUGCUGGGUCCAAAUUAUGGAGCUGUUCCCCAUGAUCCAUUCUAAUAUUAUAAAUUUUAAAACCCCCAAACAAGCAACCUCAAUUUAUCAAAUGAGCUAUGGCUCUGGAUACCAGGUGUGCCCCAUAUUUUCUUCUGUGCUAAAAACCCAGUUUCUCUUCUCCCUCUGAUUUUUUCUGAAGUGCUAUUCAGGGACUAGCCUCUGGCAGAUGCACCCUGAAGAACACAGCACUAAUUCACUUCACCUUUGAUGGAAAACAUCGAUCUCACAGCCCACUCAUGGAGCAGGUUUUUUUUUUUUUUUGCUUGAAAAUUCAGGAGAAGGUAACAUCGUGACUUUGAGUUGAGAUACCCAGCUCUGAGACAUGCCUUGGGCACAGGUCAUGGACUGGCUGAAAGGGCACAGAGGGAAAUGAGAAGUGCUGCAUCAAGCUGCUGCCGCUUUCUGAGAGCUCGUCGGUUUCAUCGUACAAGGGCACCACGUGCACAGGAACCAAACUGGGCAAGCUGAGGUUCCCAGUGCCCUUUCUACUUGUGCCAGGGGGAUAAGGUAUUCAGGGACACAUGGGAAGCACUGCUUCCAUUUUAAGAGAAUUAUUCAUAACGAGGUCAGCCUGCUGCUGCUUUCUCUCUCUGAGAUGCCAUCCAGGUCCUGCAAGAUGUCCAUACGGCACAUCCGCUUCCACUGUGGUACCUUGUGAAAUGAGGUGGUGCUGUUAAUCAGGUUUACAGACACCAAGACCAAGGAAGUCAUGCUUGUCUCUGCAGAUCAAGGUCCAAGUGACUAGCCCCAGGUAUCACAAAGAGGCAGUAGCAUCACAAGGAGCAAAUCAAGGCUUGUCUGUGCCUGGAGCACUGGCUCUAAUGCCCAGUUGUGCCUCCCUGCAGUUGUGGUGAUACCUUCAAGAGGCUGAGGAGUGAACAGAGAUCUGAGGUGCUUCAUCCUGCUGAGAGAGGCAUGGGGCUGUCCUUGCAGAGGGUGCUUUGGAGAGUCAUCUGCAGCAGGUGCCAAAAACAAAAGGAAUAAAUGAAAUGAGAUAUUGGAGAACAAGGUGUAAAAGCAGGUGCUGUCCUGUGUCAAAUAAACAGGAUUGAUGUUGGAA
This is a long non-coding RNA of Motacilla alba alba, 1426 nucleotides long. RefSeq lists it as uncharacterized. NCBI's taxonomy places the organism in Eukaryota, Metazoa, Chordata, Aves, Passeriformes, Motacillidae. The record is from RefSeq and is a predicted model, not a curated record. The transcript is spliced from 2 exons.